This 497-nucleotide ribosomal RNA is filed under the name uncultured bacterium. RNAcentral's name for it is "partial 16S ribosomal RNA". It matches the Rfam family "Bacterial small subunit ribosomal RNA", at positions 28 to 507 of the family's 1533-position model. The record is from RNAcentral.
GAUGAACGCUGGCGGCGUGCCUAAUACAUGCAAGUCGAGCGAACAGACGAAGAGCUUGCUCCUCUGACGUUAGCGGCGGACGGGUGAGUAACACGUGGAUAACCUACCUAUAAGACUGGGAUAACUUCGGGAAACCGGAGCUAAUACCGGAUAAUAUAUUGAACCGCAUGGUUCACUAGUGAAAGACGGUUUUGCUGUCACUUAUACAUGGAUCCGCGCCGCAUUAGCUAGUUGGUAAGGUAACGGCUUACCAAGGCAACGAUGCGUAGCCGACCUGAGAGGGUGAUCGGCCACACGGGAACUGAGGCACGGUCCAGACUCCUACGGGAGGCAGCAGUAGGGAAUCUUCCGCAAUGGGCGAAAGCCUGACGGAGCAACGCCGAGUGAGUGAUGAAGGUCUUCGGAGCGUAAAACUCUGUUAUUAGGGAAGAACAAAUGUGUAAGUAACUAUGCACGUCUUGACGGUACCUAAUCAGAAAGCCACGGCUAACUACGUG